UGCAUCGGCCGGGAAUCAAACCCAGGCCGCCCGCGUGGCAGGCGAGCAUUCUACCACUGAAAUAAAACAACACAAAGC
RNAcentral lists this transfer RNA (78 nucleotides) under Cordylochernes scorpioides. Its description in RNAcentral is "tRNA-Gly". Lineage: Eukaryota; Metazoa; Arthropoda; Arachnida; Pseudoscorpiones; Chernetidae. The record is from RNAcentral.